Molecule: long non-coding RNA, 502 nt
Filed under: Malus domestica (apple)
Lineage: Eukaryota; Viridiplantae; Streptophyta; Magnoliopsida; Rosales; Rosaceae
Description: long non-coding RNA (MDOM_LNC010741)
Source: RNAcentral
UCCUAAACGUUCCUGAUCAUAGGAUUGCCAAUUGGGCAUUGACAGUCCGUUAAGAUCGGUACGUACUAUGUCUUCUCUCAAGGAGAGUGAUUAGUCUCGAAUCAUUGGUGUGUGUGACAUCAAGACAAGUACGGUAGGUGCUCAAUAGAGAAUGAGUUCACUGAACGCGAUCAACGAAGAGUUCUCAUAUUCCAUGUCACAUGAGAACUCAUGGUUGGGAUAAUGCAAAUUAGUCCUUUGACCUGAGGCAUCAUAGUUGUCUUGUGGUUAAGACCUUGAUCUUUGAUUAUGUCAAAGUCACUCCAUCAGGAGGGUGUCCACGGCAUCGUUGGGGUCAAGCCGCUUAGCUAUGGAGACAAGUGAAUGCGCAACAAGGGAUCUCUAACCUUCAAGCCGCUUGAAGGAGAAUACUCUCUGAUAUGAUUUGAAUCUCUGAUCAGAGUAUGAAUGAGAUUUGGGAAUGUGUUCCUAAUCACAUUCAAGGUAAUCAUAUAAGCACAAG